ACCUGCCCUAUGAUAAAUUAAAUGGCUGCGGUAUUCUGACCGUACAAAGGUAGCAUAAUCAUUAGUUUUUUAAUUGGGAACURGUAUGAAUGGUCGAACGAGAAAAAAACUGUCUCAAUUUAAUUUUAAUUAGAAUUUUAUUUUUAAGUUAAAAAGCUUAAAUGAUUUUAAAAGACGAGAAGACCCUAUAGAGUUUUAUAUUAAAUUAUUUAUGUAAAAAGUUAAAGAAUUAUGAAUUUUUUAUAAAUAAUAAAAUAUUUGAUUGGGGCGAUUGAGAAAUUUAAUUAACUUUUUUUAAAUUUAAACAUUAAUUUAUGAAUAAAUGAUCCAUAUUUAAUGAUUAUAAGAUUAAAUUA
Molecule: ribosomal RNA, 356 nt
Filed under: Arachnodes balianus
Lineage: Eukaryota; Metazoa; Arthropoda; Insecta; Coleoptera; Scarabaeidae
Description: partial 16S ribosomal RNA
Source: RNAcentral